GACAAACGCUGGCGGCGUACCUAAGACAUGCAAGUCGAACGGGUACGGACCCUUCGGGGGUGGCGUGCUAGGUGGCGGACGGGUGAGUAACGCGUAGGAACCUAUCGCACAGUGGGGGAUACCACGGGGAAACCGGUGUUAAGUACCGCAUGUGGUCAGCAAUGACGAAAGCAGCAAUGCGCUGUGUGCGGGGCCUGCGUCCGAUUAGCUCGUUGGUGGGGUAAGGCCUACCAAGGCGACGAUCGGAGCUGGUCUGAGAGGAUGGUCAGCCACACUGGGACUGAGACACGG
Molecule: ribosomal RNA, 291 nt
Filed under: uncultured bacterium
Lineage: Bacteria
Description: partial 16S ribosomal RNA
Rfam family: Bacterial small subunit ribosomal RNA
Source: RNAcentral